CCUUGACAUACUAAGAACUUUCCAGAGAUGGAUUGGUGCCUUCGGGAACUUAGAUACAGGUGCUGCAUGGCUGUCGUCAGCUCGUGUCGUGAGAUGUUGGGUUAAGUCCCGNAACGAGCGCAACCCUUUUCCUUAUUUGCCAGCGGGUCAUGCCGGGAACUUUUAAGGAUACUGCCAGUGACAAACUGGAGGAAGGCGGGGACGACGUCAAGUCAUCAUGGCCCUUACGGCCAGGGCUACACACGUGCUACAAUGGUCGGUACAAAGGGUUGCUACCUCGCGAGAGGAUGCUAAUCUCAAAAAGCCGAUCGUAGUCCGGAUCGCAGUCUGCAACUCGACUGCGUGAAGUCGGAAUCGCUAGUAAUCGCGGAUCAGAAUGCCGCGGUGAAUACGUUCCCGGGCCUUGUACACACCGCCCGUCACACCAUGGGAGUUUGUUGCACCAGAAGUAGGUAGUCUAACCGCAAGGAGGACGCUUACCACGGUGUGGCCGAUGACUGGGGUGAAGUCGUAACAAGGUAGGCGUAGAUGA
Molecule: ribosomal RNA, 532 nt
Filed under: uncultured bacterium
Lineage: Bacteria
Description: bacterial SSU rRNA
Rfam family: Bacterial small subunit ribosomal RNA
Source: RNAcentral